UACGUAGGGUCCAAGCGUUGUCCGGAUUUAUUGGGCGUAAAGAGCUCGUAGGCGGCUCAGUAAGUCGGAUGUGAAAACUCAGGGCUCAACCCUGAGACGCCAUCCGAUACUGCUGUGGCUUGAGUCUGGUAGGGGAGAACGGAAUUCCAGGUGUAGCGGUGAAAUGCGCAGAUAUCUGGAGGAACACCGAUGGCGAAGGCAGUUCUCUGGGCCAGUACUGACGCUGAGGAGCGAAAGCGUGGGGAGCAAACAGG
Molecule: ribosomal RNA, 254 nt
Filed under: uncultured bacterium
Lineage: Bacteria
Description: partial 16S ribosomal RNA
Rfam family: Bacterial small subunit ribosomal RNA
Source: RNAcentral